GACGAACCGUCCUAACGUUAUUCGGAAUUACUGGGCGUAAAGCGCACGUAGGCGGAUCAGUCAGUUAGAGGUGAAAGCCCAGGGCUCAACCCUGGAACUGCCUUUAAUACUGCUGGUCUGGAGUCCGAGAGAGGUGAGUGGAAUUCCGAGUGUAGAGGUGAAAUUCGUAGAUAUUCGGAGGAACACCAGUGGCGAAGGCGGCUCACUGGCUCGGUACUGACGCUGAGGUGCGAAAGCGUGGGGAGCAAACAGG
RNAcentral lists this ribosomal RNA (253 nucleotides) under uncultured bacterium. RNAcentral describes it as "partial 16S ribosomal RNA". It matches the Rfam family "Bacterial small subunit ribosomal RNA", at positions 524 to 776 of the family's 1533-position model. The record is from RNAcentral.